RNAcentral lists this ribosomal RNA (253 nucleotides) under uncultured bacterium. Its description in RNAcentral is "partial 16S ribosomal RNA". It matches the Rfam family "Bacterial small subunit ribosomal RNA", at positions 524 to 776 of the family's 1533-position model. The record is from RNAcentral.
UACGAAGGGGGCUAGCGUUGCUCGGAAUUACUGGGCGUAAAGGGCGCGUAGGCGGAUAGUUUAGUCAGAGGUGAAAGCCCAGGGCUCAACCUUGGAACUGCCUUUGAUACUGGCUAUCUUGAGUACGGGAGAGGUGAGUGGAACUCCGAGUGUAGAGGUGAAAUUCGUAGAUAUUCGGAAGAACACCAGUGGCGAAGGCGACUCACUGGCCCGUUACUGACGCUGAGGCGCGAAAGCGUGGGGAUCAAACAGG